CUUCCUAUUAGCCAUUAGUCCAUACAGAUCAGAUGAUAUCUGUCAUAAAAUCAUAGAAUCAUUUGAGUUGGAAUGGACCCUUACAAGUCAUUAAGUCCAACUUUCUUGCAAUGAACAGGGACACCAACAUCUUCAUCAGGUGCUCAGAGCCCCGUCCAGCCUCACCUUGAGUGUCUACAGGGACAGGGCAGCCACCACCUCUCUAGGCAACCUGUGCCAGUGCUUCAACACCCCUAUUGUAAAAAUCGAUUUUAUGAUUGUAUGCUCUUCAGUGCCAAGAUCUGAAGGCAGGAGAUCCUUUUGAUUGGAAGCACUCAGUGCUGCCACGAAGGGAGAGGACAGCCAUGUACACCAGGCCUAGCCUGCAGAUUGCCUGAGCUGCUCCCUCUCAGCAGCUAUGAUAGGCAGGGCCUGCUUUCCUGCUGCCUUCUCAGGGCUGCAGGGGCCCAGAUGGAUGAGGCAAAGUAUACAGAAUUGGUUUAACCAUGGAAAAAAGCAUUGAAAUCAGAAAUCUCAAAGUUAUGGAAAAGAAAAAAUGAUGCUUGCAGCAUUGUACCUUGUAAUCAGAGGCUGAUUUGAUGAGGCUGGCAAGGGCCUUAGACUUCGGGUUCCCACUUGGACAUCAAGACAAAUGAGAGAGACCUUCAUGUCCUGCACAGACAGUCUUUGUCCUCAUGCAACAAAUUCCUGCUGCGUCUCAGACUUUAUUUCCCAUCUUAACAGGAAGCAGGGUUUCUUUGUGGAAGCCAAGGAGAUGUUUCUGUCCCUGAGACUUCUUUCAGAUUUGGACCUCAGGUGGGACUUUCCUGUGUCCCUUCCCGCUGACACUGCAUAAGAAACUGUUUCUGCUGCUGAAUGCAAGCAUCU
RNAcentral lists this long non-coding RNA (867 nucleotides) under Phasianus colchicus (ring-necked pheasant). RNAcentral's name for it is "lncRNA (ENSPCLG00000011342.1)". Lineage: Eukaryota; Metazoa; Chordata; Aves; Galliformes; Phasianidae. The record is from RNAcentral.